AUUGAACGCUGGCGGCAUGCCUUACACAUGCAAGUCGAACGGUAACAGGUUAAGCUGACGAGUGGCGAACGGGUGAGUAAUGUAUCGGAACGUGCCCAGUCGUGGGGGAUAACUGCUCGAAAGAGCAGCUAAUACCGCAUACGACCUGAGGGUGAAAGCGGUGGAUCGCAAGACCUCGCGCGAUUGGAGCGGCCGAUAUCAGAUUAGGUAGUUGGUGAGGUAAAGGCUCACCAAGCCGACGAUCUGUAGCUGGUCUGAGAGGACGACCAGCCACACUGGGACGGGGACACGGCCCAGACUCCUACGGGAGGCAGCAGUGGGGAAUUUUGGACAAUGGGCGCAAGCCUGACCAGCCAUGCCGCGUGCGGGAAGAAGGCCUUCGGGUUGUAAACCGCUUUUGUCAGGGAAGAAAAGGUUCUGGCUAAUACCUGGGACUCAUGACGGUACCUGAAGAAUAAGCACCGGCUAACUACGUG
RNAcentral lists this ribosomal RNA (476 nucleotides) under uncultured bacterium. Its description in RNAcentral is "partial 16S ribosomal RNA". It matches the Rfam family "Bacterial small subunit ribosomal RNA", at positions 30 to 507 of the family's 1533-position model. The record is from RNAcentral.